Molecule: ribosomal RNA, 379 nt
Filed under: Chaetomium elatum
Lineage: Eukaryota; Fungi; Ascomycota; Sordariomycetes; Sordariales; Chaetomiaceae
Description: eukaryotic LSU rRNA
Rfam family: 5.8S ribosomal RNA (bases 34-187)
Source: RNAcentral
CUUAUACUGAGUCUUCUGUACUGAAUAAGUCAAAACUUUCAACAACGGAUCUCUUGGUUCUGGCAUCGAUGAAGAACGCAGCGAAAUGCGAUAAGUAAUGUGAAUUGCAGAAUUCAGUGAAUCAUCGAAUCUUUGAACGCACAUUGCGCCCGCCAGUAUUCUGGCGGGCAUGCCUGUUCGAGCGUCAUUUCAACCAUCAAGCCCCCGGGCUUGUGUUGGGGACCUGCGGCUGCCGCAGGCCCUGAAAAGCAGUGGCGGGCUCGCUGUCACACCGAGCGUAGUAGCAUACAUCUCGCUCUGGGCGUGCUGCGGGUUCCGGCCGUUAAACCACCUUUAACCCAAGGUGACCUCGGAUCAGGUAGGAAGACCCGCGACUAGC